GGCCUACGGGCGGCUGCAGUGUGGAAUAUUGCACAAUGGGGGAAACCCUGAUGCAGCGACGCCGCGUGAGCGAUGAAGUAUUUCGGUAUGUAAAGCUCUAUCAGCAGGGAAGAAAAUGACGGUACCUGACUAAGAAGCACCGGCUAAAUACGUGCCAGCAGCCGCGGUAAUACGUAUGGUGCAAGCGUUAUCCGGAGUUACUGGGUGUAAAGGGAGCGUAGACGGAGUGGCAAGUCUGAUGUGAAAACCCGGGGCUCAACCCCGGGACUGCAUGGGAAACUGGCAAUCUGGAGUACCGGAGAGGUAAGCGGAAUUCCUAGUGUAGCGGUGAAAUGCGUAGAUAUUAGGAGGAACACCAGUGGCGAAGGCGGCUUACUGGACGGUAACUGACGUUGAGGCUCGAAAGCGUGGGGAGCAAACAGGAUUAGAUACCCUAGUAGUCUAU
This 445-nucleotide ribosomal RNA is filed under the name uncultured Ruminococcus sp. Its description in RNAcentral is "bacterial SSU rRNA". It matches the Rfam family "Bacterial small subunit ribosomal RNA", at positions 335 to 798 of the family's 1533-position model. Lineage: Bacteria; Bacillati; Bacillota; Clostridia; Eubacteriales; Oscillospiraceae. The record is from RNAcentral.